ACAACUAUAUCACGUUGAAACACCUGUUCCUGUACGAUCAUUGGAGUUAAGCAACGUUGGGCCUGGUCAGUACCUGAUGGGUGACCGCUUAGGAAUAUCAAGUGCUGUAA
Acanthosepion pharaonis is the source of this 110-nucleotide non-coding RNA. The record is from the annotation of a GenBank genome assembly. NCBI's taxonomy places the organism in Eukaryota, Metazoa, Mollusca, Cephalopoda, Sepiida, Sepiidae.